This 7332-nucleotide long non-coding RNA is filed under the name Triticum aestivum (bread wheat). Its description in RNAcentral is "long non-coding RNA (TAES_LNC015547)". The record is from RNAcentral. Lineage: Eukaryota; Viridiplantae; Streptophyta; Magnoliopsida; Poales; Poaceae.
UCAUCAAAUGUCUGACGGGCAUUUUAACCUUUUAAGUAUAGAUUAUGUUGUAGAAUUUUCUGCAACAAAGAGCAUGUUGCAGAAACGUCUGUAGAUUUUUUUGCAACAUAGUUUGUUAUAUAAUAUUUUCCGCAACAAAGAUCGUGUUGCGGAAACAUCUAUAGAAUUUUAUUUACAACAGAAUUUGUUAUAGAAAUAUUUUCUGCAACAAAGAUCAUAGGUGAUGCUGCGGAAAUAUCUGCAAGACAAAUACUAUUGUAAAAAUAUUUGUAACAGAAGGUGUGUUGCGGAAAACAUUUGUAACAUAUGUCAUGUUGCAGAAAAUAAUUUUGCGCCUCGUUUUGUUGCAAAACUAGAUGCGUCGUAAACAAUUGCAACACCACAUUUGUUUCUGAAACAUAGCCUCUAUUUCGAAAGCGUAUUCGAUAAAAGACGACAUGCAAGCCUUCAUUUGGAUGCGUGUCAUGAAGCGAAGGUGGCGGACGCGGCCACUACGAUCCGCCGGAUGACGGCAAGCUUUUCCCUUUGUAUAAGGGUAGUGGAAAAAGAUUGUCGGCGUGGACCUUUCAAGCUUUUUUUUGCGGGGAUGGACCUUUCAAGCUGUACUCUCAUAUAAUAAUAAGACAUAUGACCAGGCCUUGUACACAAUUUAAAUCCCUAGAUUCCCUUUUGUGAAUAUUGGAACUUGUAAAGCAAUUAUUUUUCUUAUGUCGUCAUAGAACUUUCAGGCUUGUAACAUAAAAGGAGAUAUAUGGCCAGACGUUGUCCACCAUUUUAAUCUGUGUAGGUUCCCCUUAAAUUUUAGAACCACGAUUUGGCAUCGUUAGGUUGAAACAACGUAUUAAACGUUCCCAUGAAGUUUAUGUUUACCUUUUUUGUUAGGUUUGUGUGGCCAUCACGACAUCAUGCCAACGGCGAACGAAGCAUUAUACAAAAUAAACAUUUCAUGAUUCUUUGAUCUUGUGUGGAUGCCGCAUUCUAUCUUUAUAUAGUCGUUCUUCUGGCUUCUAUGUCCAUGUGUUUGGUGAUCUUUCUGGUUUGGCAGCUUACCUUGCGACGGUCGCAACCAAAGAUUUUAUGUUCCCACUCCUUGAGGUGAGAGGCACAUGAGCUUCUUUGAAAGCCUCGGAAGAGGUGUAUUUGACAAAUUUAGGUUCUCACUCUUUGGCGUCGACCAAGUAAAACCUAAUGAUGGCAAUUUUACCUAUGGGCAUGGGCACCCCACUCGCAUGGGUAUGGUAUGGGCACAUAUUUAUGCCCAUAGUCAGUACCCAAACUCUACCCGACUAGUCAUCGGUAGGGCAAGGGUACGAUUUUGUGCCCAUGGGUAUGCCCAGACCCUUCCCGGUUAUCUUUGGGUAUACCUGCCCACGGGAAAUCCGGCCCGGCCCGGCUCAAAAUAGCCCGACCCGGCACGGUCUGGUCUUACCCACGGGCCGAGCUUGGGCCUAGGUUUUGAGCCCGAAUGACAUGGCAGGACGGGUUUGGGCUUGACAUAUGUGCGUCUUAGGGAAGAGGCCCGAUCUGAGGCCCGAGGCGCGGCGGGCUUUUCCACUGAUGGGCCAGGCUUGGGCUUGAAAUCUAGGCCCAAAGGCCGGGUUCAGGCCUAGGUUUUCUGAUGCGAGCUUUUUCAGGCCCGGCACGGCCCGAGUUACAGCCAGGUAUAUCUUUGGGCCUUAUGUGUAGUAAACACUAAGGUACCUAAUGUUUCUAUAUAUUAGGUUGCAUUUCCCACCCACAUCCUCCUCCCAAUAAUCAAUUCUCCAACCAUGGAAAUCUCUUAGUGGCUGGUGCCUCCAUCAAACAUUGGACUAGCAUUUACAGCACCAUCUUUUGAUGUUGUGUUGAUCUUCCCAAUGCGUACCAAUCGGGCACAUAUACCCAUAGGGCAUGGACAUGGAUAUUUACCUGAUGGGUAGGUUCGGGCAGAUUUUACGCCAUCAGAAACAUGAGUAUGAGUAUGGGAUUAUUUUACAUGCACCAUACCCUUCCCAUUGACAUCCUUAGUAAAACAUAUGAGUCAGGUUAACAAAAAAUGUACAUGUCUGGUCUUUUGUAUUAUUGUCAUUGGAGACCUGGAGGGGCAUCAAAAUGUGAAUUAAGAUAUGUUGCUUCAAAAGGAACUUGAUGAAGCCUGCAAUUUUCCUUGGCUUUAUUUUUGGACGCGGCAAUAUCUCAUAUGACUAAGAAUUGUCUAUUUUUUGGUCGAUUUUGCAGGUUUGUUCAUACAGAUUAAGAAAAAUAUUCACCAGUCAUAACAUUAUAUUUAUCUAGUAAAACUAGAAUGGAUAUUUUCCGACCAAACAUCACACCGAAGGGCCUCAGAUGGCAUUCGUUCUAAAAUUCAUAUAGUUCCCGGAUUCGGUCAUGGAUAGAGAUAGUUCUCUUUGUGUUAGACUACGGGUUUGGUUUUGACAUUAUACCAUCAUGUUCAGAAUUAUAUUGAGUUCAAUCAGAGAUUUUCCAGAUAAUACCACAGAGAGUUCGAGGAUAUACUACACAACCAUUUUUUCAACUCAUAAAACCAUGCACUGGCUAACGACACACAUGCAGACUUGAGGGGCAUUAGGCAAGUCAUAGUGGGGAGUAACUUAGACUAGUAACAUGUAUAUGUUACUAGUCUAUUUUAGUAUUUCACAGUGGGUAGUGUCAUAGCUAUGAUAACCUAGAGAGCUUCAUUUAUUACUUUGUAGAGUCACUUUACAUUAGGAACCACUAUUAGAGAUGCAUUGGACAUGAAUUUGUUGAAUGAAAGCCUGCCAAAUGACAAUGCUAUUAUACGGUUGCUAACUAUUGGUUAGGUCCUUCCUAUAACUUGCAAAUCUAAUAGCUAAAAUAAUUUAGAUGAUGUGGCUUAAAGUUGUUCUUUGAAUUGAACAAUACAUUGUGUUUUUAUAAUAUACUAGCACAUAUGUCCGUGCAUUGCAAUGAAAGAGAUAUUUUUUUCCCGAGAAGCAGCUAGAAAGAUAAUUGAUUUGUCCACCAAAAAUUGUCUCCGCAGCAGUGCGUGAUAGAGCGAUGAGUUGCGGUCUUCUCGCGGGUCAUGUCUAACCCACGAGAUCUUGAUAGUGGUGGGAUUGGUCGGCGUGGCAGAGGCCAUCCAACUAGUACCUUUUUUUCCUCCGGCUCCACCUUCGUAUUGGGGUUGUGCCUUCCUCAUCAUUUGGUUGUUGGGCGGCAACCUUUAGGACACAGUCGCUUCAACCACUCACUCCUACAAUGGCAUAACCAGAGUGAUUACUAAUUAAUUGCAUCGCAUAAAUCCGGUUUCAUUAGGAUAAUCGUCGCAUAACUAGGCAUGACUGUCCCUUCUUUAUUAGGGUUUAUUCUCUUUGAUUAUUUUAGCACUCACGUGCCCAUAGUUUUUUUAAUUGGAGCAAAACCAACAUUUUCUCUUUUAUUGGCAUGUGACUGCAUGUCUUUUCAAUUAUAGCCAACCGCCAUAUUCUCGUUGGCACAUGGAAGCUACCACCAGCAAUAAUUUAGGGAGUUCAUCGUUCUGCUCAUGAUUCUCGAGACAACUUCCUUAUUAUCAGACAACCUCCUUUUUUCAGGCAACCUAGAGACAUAUCAAAACAUGUGUAAUUUAGUAUAAAGCUCCAAGGUGGGACUAUUCCUAUCAUAAUUUCAAGCUGGAUGAGUUGGUUUUGUCCAUCGGCACAACAGGGAAGGACCAUAGUUCAGUCCCCUCCUGACCUAAAUUAUUUGCUGCUCAUCUAUCUGACAGAAAGGUAAAUGCGUGGUAGGCCCAGUUCGGCGCACCUGGGGACAAAUGUAAAAAAAUUCGGGAACUAAGUGCGGAACGGACGGAACAAAAUCAAUACAUAUAAUUUUGCUUUUCUUGAGCCAGUUGCAUGAGAGCUACUAUAUGGUGCUAUUUUCAUGAAAUAGCGCAUGGGACACACGACAGUUCGUGUCUGGGCAACCCACUGGUUGACACCGAAACGACCUGUGUUUGUAAGGUGCGGGUAAAAAUUAAAAAAAAACAGCGCGUUGAACGAUCAAACUGAUGACAUCAAAGUCCCGACUAGGUGCUGCUAGCCACUAGAACAAGCGUGUACUGCUAACCAAUGAACAAUGAGAAUAUUUAAGAACACAUUGCAGUGUCAGAAUUGUUUUUUUUCUAAAAUAUGAAUUGUCAAAUACUCUUGGAAACGUGAUUUUUUUUAAAUUCCAAUUAUUUGAACAUUCCGUACAUUUCUCGAAGAACAUUGGAAAAUAUUGAAAUAGGGUCAUUUUCUGAAGUUCACAAGCAUGUUUUGAGAACAUGAACCUUAUAUAAAAACACGAGCAUUUUUUAAAUUUGUGAAGAAUUUUUGAAACUGGGAACAUGUUUUGAACAUUCAGAACAACUAUAUCAAAUGAGUUUUCUGAAACACGGACAUUAUUUUGAAUUUAUGAACAUUUUCUCGCAUUUGGAACAUUUUUUAAAUUGCAAUUUUUAAAUCUAGAAUUUUUUGGAAAACACAAGUGUUUUUUUACAAAAAUGGGAACAUUUUUUGAAUUUUGACACGAGAAGAAAAUUUAAAAGUUAAAAAACAAUUAAAAGAGGUAUAGAAUUUUGAAAGUCUGAAUAUGUUUCGAAAAUUUGAACAACAAUUCAAAUGCUGAACAUUUUUUGAAAAUUAUGAAUUUACAGAAACAAGAAAAAGAAAAAUUAAUUUGGAAGGGAAAAAAGAAAAAAGAAACAGGAAAGAAAAAGAUUUUUUUUAACAUUUGGAUGAUGUAGCUUUAUGUUGUGCUUUGAAUUGAACCACACCUUGGGUUUUUAGAAUACACUUGUAAAUUUACGUGCAUUGCACGUUAGAACUUGGAUAACCAGCAAAGAUUAGCAUACUGUUAUGGUAUAUAUUAUAAUAGGUAAGUGAACAUUUUGAAGCAGAUGCAUAAAGUAUAAGAUACAAAACUUGGGUAACAUAAACCAGCCUUGUUGUGUCCAAGUGGUAUCUUUUUAUGUAUCUCAUAUUGCAGUUUUUAAUAGAAAAUAACAAGAAUAGCUAGUGUUGCAUUUGGAAAGAUAAAUGUGACUAUGAAGGUACCUUUGUGGCCUUGAACACAAAGAAAUAACUACCCAUUGAAAAUAAAUGAUAGUUUUGUUAGAAAAAGACGUGGGGAGAGUCUACAUAUAGAAGAGUCUAGAAAAAAAUUAGAAAAGUUUUUUUGAGUUUUAUGCAAAAUAUUCGUAGAGUGUAAGCCCAAUACUAAACUCUUCUAGAUAGUACAUGUGGCGGAAAAUUGUGUAGUAAAGAGAAGAUCCAAUGGCUAGCAACAUCCGGAUUUGCCACCUGUCCACCAUCGCAUCGGCUUCGUCCAACGGCUGAUAUUCAAGUAAUUCAUAGAGUACAUAGUAGUACAGAUAUAGUAGGUGUGAUUAAUUGGUUUGCUACAAAAAGGAACUCCAAGGAAGCGCUUCUAUGCAGUCUUUCAUGCUAUGGCGGAAGUAGAAGCUUGUUGGCUUGUCAUUGAAAAUGUUGAAUCCUGGAGGAGUGCAACCAAACAAACGAAGGUGGAGUUUGCUUAUAGUUAAGUUCAGUUACAUUUGGUGUCCCUUCUAUAAUUCUAUUAAUGGAAUCUUGGCAGCCCUCAUGUUAACUUUUAAAAAAGGUUAACCUUAGUGUGGGAUGUGGAAUUCCCUUUCUGUGGUUUAGCUGUUGGUGUUUUCUCUUUUUUGUGUUUUCUUGCGACCUGCUCCUUUUAUGUUUUUGUUAUUUUACGCAAUCUAUCUGGUGUUGCAGAGGGUGGAGGCCCUUGUAAAGCUUUCAAAAUAGGUUGGGCCUUGGGGUCUUUCCUCCAAAAUACACCUAAUAUUAUUUUAUUUUAUUUUGUCGGUCAUGCAUAUACACUACUAAGAAAUUAUAUAUGCUCUUAUCAAGUACACAAUCGAGCAAACAUGCACGAUUUUUCAAGGCAUCAUCGUCAUCAUCACCUAUGUUGUGCCUUGAUGAGUUUGGAAAAAAAAGGAAAGGGGGGAGCAAUGCCCAAGCCACAGAGACAAGCGAGCCGGUGACUGUACUAGGUGCGCCAAUUUAAUUAGUUAUGUUCUCUGGUUUUCCCAAUUUCUGGAACCUUUUAGAAGUUUCGGGUACAGUUUUUUUUUCAUUGCUGCUUUUUGCAGGAUUUUUUUUACUUUCCAAAAAAUCCAAAUUUUAGAAAAUAUUCAUGUUUAAUUUUUCAAAAUCUAUAUUUUUUCCGAAAUUUCAAUAAAUGUUCUCUGAUUUGAAAAAAAAUCUCGUAUUUAUAAAAUAUGCUAACAUUUCACAAAAGGGGUUCUUAAGUUUUAAAAUAUUCAUUUUUUAAGAGUAAAUAAUUUUUGAGUUAUUCUAGAAAAUCAAAAUAGAAACCCCAGAAUAACAUAGGAAAAGAAAAAAAACAGAGCUAGAGCUCGCUCGCGACUUUGUGUUGCUUUAAUUGACCGGCCUACCCAAGCGAAAGUUGUGCAUAUUAAAAUUCAACAUGUUCUGAAUAAAUAGCUAAUAUUAUUAUAUGAUUAAUUUUGGAAAGUAUAACAGAUAUUUUACACCGAAAAGGGUCAGCCUCCGUGAUUAAUUUUAACCCCCUUUUUUAUGUUUUCGCAAAAAACAUCUUCUCGCAUCCAUUCCUCUCCACUUCCUACAAGGCUGCAAUCAUAAACCAAAAACCUAAUCCGGUGUGAAAUCUCAGAUAUUAGUUACUCGCUUGAUGCAAGAACAAUUCAUAGAUGACCAAUGUUAAUUUUUCAAUGUCUUGCAUAACUGGUUUCCUUUGAGCGGCAUGUCCUUACUUUAGAAACAACGUCACAUUUUCUCAGUUUUGCAUUCCAAACCAUAUUAUUCGAAUAUAUAUGCUUACAGAAUAACAUACAUGUUUCCCGAAUUCGGGACCAACAACGAGUAUAUAUAUACAUGUUGUUCUGUCUUCAAAGGCACAUGUUCUAGAAUAAUAAUAUACAUGCAAACAUUUGGUCUUCAUCUCGGUUGGCUGCAGUGUUCUUCUCCCUUCCUUUGCCAGAACUUCAUGUCAUGCCUACAACAUUGAUCACUGAGGAUUGUACUGAUCGAUUCGCCGCAUUGUUUGGCCAACUAACUGGAUGCAGAGCUCCAAGGCAGAUGUCGCCACACUGCCAUGUUUCAUUCUAUCUAGCCUAACCUGACCAUCUUCAUCUUGCUUUGUUCUUUCUUCUAGGUCUGGUUAUUUCUCAGUGAAUACGGUAAGAGCAGCGAUCUCCCGUACGCGACAGGGAGCGCAAGCACCUUUUUCGCCUUCCCAACAUAGGCCCUCUUGGUGAAGUUGUUGUAGUCAUUCGCUUCGAUCUCGUCAAGGAUCUGCCGGUACAACAACAGAGAGGCCCAAACC